This 508-nucleotide ribosomal RNA is filed under the name uncultured bacterium. Its description in RNAcentral is "partial 16S ribosomal RNA". It matches the Rfam family "Bacterial small subunit ribosomal RNA", at positions 28 to 507 of the family's 1533-position model. The record is from RNAcentral.
GACGAACGCUGGCGGCGUGCCUAAUACAUGCAAGUCGAACGCUUCUUUCCUCCCGAGUGCUUGCACUCAAUUGGAAAGAGGAGUGGCGGACGGGUGAGUAACACGUGGGUAACCUACCCAUCAGAGGGGGAUAACACUUGGAAACAGGUGCUAAUACCGCAUAACAGUUUAUGCCGCAUGGCAUAAGAGUGAAAGGCGCUUUCGGGUGUCGCUGAUGGAUGGACCCGCGGUGCAUUAGCUAGUUGGUGAGGUAACGGCUCACCAAGGCGACGAUGCAUAGCCGACCUGAGAGGGUGAUCGGCCACACUGGGACUGAGACACGGCCCAGACUCCUACGGGAGGCAGCAGUAGGGAAUCUUCGGCAAAGGACGAAAGUCUGACCGAGCAACGCCGCGUGAGUGAAGAAGGUUUUCGGAUCGUAAAACUCUGUUGUUAGAGAAGAACAAGGACGUUAGUAACUGAACGUCCCCUGACGGUAUCUAACCAGAAAGCCACGGCUAACUACGUG